Molecule: ribosomal RNA, 406 nt
Filed under: uncultured bacterium
Lineage: Bacteria
Description: bacterial SSU rRNA
Rfam family: Bacterial small subunit ribosomal RNA
Source: RNAcentral
CAGCAGCCGCGGUAAUACGUAUGGGGCGAGCGUUGUUCGGAAUUAUUGGGCGUAAAGGGCGUCUAGGCGGGGAUUUAAGUUAGGUGUGAAAGCUAUGGGCUCAACCCAUAAACUGCAUCUAAAACUGGAUCUCUUGAGUUCGGGAGAGGAGAGCGGAAUUCCAGGUGUAGCGGUGAAAUGCGUAGAUAUCUGGAAGAACACCAGUGGCGAAGGCGGCUCUCUGGCCUAGAACUGACGCUGAAGCGCGAAAGCGUGGGGAGCGAACAGGAUUAGAUACCCUGGUAGUCCACGCUGUAAACGUUGUAUACUAGGUGUUAGUGGCUUGUCCACUAGUGCCGCAGCAAACGCAUUAAGUAUACCGCCUGGGGAGUACGCCCGCAAGGGUGAAACUCAAAGGAAUUGACGG